RNAcentral lists this long non-coding RNA (18829 nucleotides) under Brassica napus (rape). Its description in RNAcentral is "long non-coding RNA (BNAP_LNC004895)". The stretch from base 3807 to 3878 matches the Rfam family "tRNA". Lineage: Eukaryota; Viridiplantae; Streptophyta; Magnoliopsida; Brassicales; Brassicaceae. The record is from RNAcentral.
GGUCUCCGGCCGGAAUACGACGGAGGACGCUCAACAGCAAUCCGACGGCACAAUCCGCCACGUCAUCGGAGAAGGCGUCGCCAGCGUUGGUGACGGCGAUGCCGCGGCGCUUGCAUUCGGCGAGGUCGACGUGAUCGGUGCCGACGCUGGUGCAGACGAGAAGCUGGAGGGAAGGGAGGUGGGAGAGGAGCUCGGCGUCGAUCUUGAGCCUGCCGAUGUUGACGAAGGCUGUGACGGAGGCGGCGUGGCGGGAGAGGAAGAGGGGUAGUGGAUCCGGUGAAAGGUGAGCGUUGAGAAGACGGAAGUUGCGGCUGAGGUGGUCGUCCAUGUAAGCUAGAGUAGGUGGGCGGUGAACGAGGACGAGCGGAGAUUCUGAAGAUUCCUCCAUGUGACUUGAGAGGACAAUAUGUAUGGUCCCUCUGUUUUAUAGUACUCACCAAACUAUUAUUCGUCUGGUUAUGAUGGCAUGAUAAAGAGCACUCUCGUCCGUUACAUAUACUCUAAAGUUUAAUAUUUGAUAUUUAUUAUUUUUAUACAGAAAAAAAACUAAACAUUUUUUUUUUUUUUUUUUUUUUUCAAAAUUUUAANNNNNNNNNNNNNNNNNNNNNNNNNNNNNNNNNNNNNNNNNNNNNNNNNNNNNNNNNNNNNNNNNNNNNNNNNNNNNNNNNNNNNNNNNNNNNNNNNNNNAAAAUUUUUAUUUUUAUUUUUAUUUUUGUAUUUAUAUGGUUUUUUUAAAAAAAAGAAAAAAAAAAUUAUCCUCCCGCAACCGCCCGCAACCGCAAACGCUAGCUGGAACCAGCUUUUGAUUUUAAGAGGUUCGGAGCGGUUUGAAACGAUUUGUAGCGGUUUGUAUGAUUGUUUCGAAACGCUGUCAACCGCUACCAAUCGCAAAAGCUGCGUUUGCGGGUGAUAGCGGGAAAACCAAUCAAGCUCUAACAGGCUGUUAACGGUGUGUUACGCGCGUAGAAAUCGCACUAUGUGGGUCCCAUCACCGUAGCCUAUAUAUUCUCCACUCCUUCACUUCUCUGCUUCGUAACUCCCAACCGAAAAACAAAACAGAGCACAACUUAGACCAAAAAAAAAAAACAAACAAACAAAAAAGACUUUUUAUUCGAACAAAAUUCAAUCCCCUUGUACCUUAUCCUUACAAGAAUCUAACUUACAUCUGUUCUUAGAGUAUCCAGUGAGAUCGUUCGAAUUGUAACAGUAGUUUCACUCUCUAGAAGUCAAGGCGAAGUUUUUUUUUUUUUUUGCUUUAAAGUCAAGGCGGAGUUUUUUUUUUCUUUUUCUAAUGGAUAACAACGAUGAGAUUAUGCUGGCGGAGAUGACGCCGAAGAGGCGUGCGGGACGGAGAGUGUUCAAGGAGACACGUCACCCAGUUUACAGAGGAAUACGGCGGAGGAACGGCGACAAAUGGGUCUGCGAAGUCCGAGAGCCGAUUCACCAACGCCGCAUUUGGCUCGGGACUUAUCCUACUGCGGAGAUGGCGGCGCGUGCACACGACGUGGCGGCUUUGGCUCUACGCGGGAGAUCCGCGUGUUUGAAUUUCGCCGACUCCGCCUGGCGGCUUCCGGUGCCGGAAUCAACCGAUCCCGAUGUCAUCAGGAGAGUCGCGGCGGAAGCGGCGGAGAUGUUCAGGCCAACGGAAUAUGAGAGUGGAAUUACGGUUGUGCCCUCUUAUGGUGAUGAGGUUGAUUUAGGUUUUGGUUCUGGUUCGGGAUCGGAGGAGAGGAGUUUGUAUGGAUAUGUGGAACAAGAAGAAGAAGAAGUUUCCACGACGAUGAUGAGACUCGCGACGGAGCCGUUAAUGUCGCCGCCGAGAUCGUACAUGGAAGGCAUGACUUCUAAUGCUUACAUGGAAGAAGAGAUGUCUUCUUACCUAGAUAUGUCACUGUGGAGUUACAACUAUUAAGCGCGACGUAUACGCAUUUAAAUACUUUAAAUAUAUGUUAUCGUAUUUGUGUGUCAGUGUGUACAUGUGCAAUAGACCAAUAGUUUGUGAAAUGAAUUGUAAGAUUUUCCUAGUAUUAGAUCCUCUGUCUGAGUUAGAAGGUUCCUUGUGGGAUUGUAUUGUUCUUUUUUAUAAAAAUGGACGGGCUUUAUGAAUCCAUGUACAAAGUGUAAGCGCAAUUAGAGAUUAAGCCGAAACUUUAUUGAGAUGCUUAAACUCGACAGCCUAAUUAGAGAUUGACCAUCGAUUCAUAACAUUUUAACUUCGAAAUAUAUCUAUUUCUCGACGAUCACUACAGAGAUUGUAUAAUAUUUUUAAGAGGUCAUUGCAUUUUUUGGGCAGGAAAAAUAGUGUAUAUAAUAGACACUUUGCCACAACAAUACAAAAUUAAUAAGCUUUCCGGUGAAAUUACAAUUUUUAAAUGUACUAAGUUUAGAGUUAAUAAAUUAUCUAAUACCGAAAUUUAUGGAUAUCAAUGUCCUAAAAUAAUGUUUGAUGUAAAGUCUGAUUUCUCAAUUUCUUAUCAAGACUUCCACCAUAAAGUAACAUAGCAUUGUGGUAAAACAUCUGAAGUAUCAUAAGAUGCAAAAUUUAAAACCACCAUCGCCUUCAAUUACAAAAAAAAAAAUCCUAAGAGGCGUUGUCUUCCAUUCCAACUAGUUAUUUCUUCUCUCGGAAAAAAAAAUCUAAACUGAUCAUGAGAUCAUCUUUGGUUUUAACCAGAGUUACAAUUACCAGCUUGACAAUCGCUAGGAUGAAAUCGUCGCUAGGAUGAAAUCGUCUACGUAGACUACUGAUCCAAAUGUUACCAUCUAAAUUGAGAUCCAGAAAACCAAAAGUGUCAAUACAUCACUCCCACAAUCAUAAUUGUGUUUUGCAAUGGGAAUAGGUAUAAGAUAUAUAAUGUGAAAUUUGAUCUAAGCAAUAUAUUAAUUUUUUAUUACAUUGUUUAAAAAAAUCUUAAACCCUUGAUUAUCUGAUGUGGACAAAAACAAAUAUUUACUCCAACGUGACAUGAAGUUUGAACUGUCUCACUUGAAAAUAGAUCUUUCAAAUCUCAAGUCACAAUUUAGAGACUCAAACUAAACAAGAUUCUCGAGGAAUUUAAUAAUUUUGAUGAGGAAUUUAAUAAUUUAUCAAAAUUAUGGUUUUUUGUAAUGUAAAUGAUGGAAUCCAAAAUAAAUUACUGUAAAACAGUUAUGUACCAAUUUUAUAAGGCUUAAACUAUCAAAUAAUUUAGUUUUAUAGAUUAAUUUACCAAUAAAAAUAGAUAUAAUGGUUGUGAUCUUGCUCGAAUCAAAGACAAUGAGGUCUAAUUUAUUUUGUUUAACCAUUUUACUUACAUGCAAUUUUGAAAAUGUUAUUAAUAUUAUGUUGCCGAAAACCAAUGAUUUAUAUGUGUAUCUAAAGUAGAGUUUGUUGGAGAAUGAGUGGGAAACGAGGGAACAAGAGCAUGAACAAUAGCAUGCCAAAUUGCUGCACAAGACAAAAGCGAUGAAUAGAGUAGGCCGUUGGUCUAGUUUAAAAUUUCAAUUUCUUGGUUCGUUUCUCAUCUUAUAUUAUCAUAUUUUAGUAUAUUUUGUGAUGUUAGCAAGUAAAUUUUUUUUUUGACUAUCAUUUAGAUGGAAAAAUUAUUCGGUUAUUCAAUUUGAAACAUUAACAUUUAAUACAAAUGCAAAGAUAAUUUUUUUUUUUUUUACCAAAUGCAAAGAUAAAGUUUGGUUUGUCAUUAUUUCAAUUUAGUUAGCUUCCUUUAUUUUGGUUGGCAAUGUGUUCAUGCAAUCAUCAAAAUUGACACACACGAAUAGUUAGUGAUUUGGUACGAAUUAUGAAAUAUCAAAAAACAAGUCGUUCAGCGUCUGUAGUCCAACGGUUAGGAUAAUUGCCUUCCAAGCAAUAGACCCGGGUUCGACUCCCGGCAGACGCAGUAUUUUCCCUUUUUUAAACUAUUUUGACCUAAUCAUAAUUUAGCUAUAAUCUUUCGAAAGAAAUCAAAACCCAAAACAUCAGCUCACAGCUCCUUAUGCUAAGCGGUGUCGGUCCAUCAGCUCAAUUACAAGCCCAAAACAUUACGGUGGUGAUGGACCAGCCUCAUGUGGGUCAAGGGAUGCACGACAACCCUAUGAACGCCGUGUUCAUCCCUUCUCCAGUCCCUGUCGAAGUAUCACUCAUCGAGGUGGUUGGAAUUACCGGUGAAGGAACAUACGUUGAGGCUGCCGGUGGUGAGAAUUUUGGUGGUGGAGGUGGAAGUGGUUCAUCGGCUAGAGACUACUAUGCAAUGUUUUCUUCAAAGGCAACUUUAUUAUAGUCAAAUUUAAUGAAGUUAUCAUCAGCCCAACCUUUUCAAGGAGGCUUCAUUUUAGAGAAAGUAAUGGGCCCACUAUCCACGGGUCAUUUGGAGCUCCGAACCCAAACCUAAAUGAUAACCCGGUUGUGACCUUCAACUAUUUCCAACACCCGGACGACCUAGAACGAUGCGUUUGAGGGAUCCAAACCAUAGAGAGAGUUGUGCAAUCUAAGGCGUUUGCACGGUACAAGUAUGCGGAUAUGUCUUUUGCGUAUUUGCUAAACCAUACGGCAAGUACUCCAGUCAAUCUAAGGCCGCAGCGGUCCUAGAGCCUCGUUGCCUCCAUCAGCUGAAUUUUGCCAACAUACGGUUACAACGAUUUGGCAUUACCAUGGAGGAUGUGUUGUUGGUAGAGUCGUCGAUGGGGAUUAUAAGGUUAUUGGUAUGUCGACAGUUGGUUAUUGUCCUGGUACAAAUCCUCAAGCCACGGUUAUGAUGCUUGGUAGGUGAAGACAAAUCACUCUUGCUAUCAUAUACUAUAUCGAUUAUGUUUACAUUUUUUUCACUAACUGCUAAUUGUUUUUGGGUGACUUAAAAUAUGCAUGCAGGUAUAUGGGUGUGAAGAUCACGAGAGAGAGUGGCUCGCCAAUAAGUAGGGUUUUGGAUCGGAUCAGGGUUUUUGUGAAAACGUUACUACGUACAAAUGAAAUGAAUCAAGAUCUUAUUAAUCAAUGUUUCUAGUAGCUGCAUACAUGUUUUGGUGUUCCUUUUAUAUAAUACACGAUCUUAUUUUUCUCCAUUACCAUUAUGUUAACCUAAACAUACUGAAUUUUUUCUUGAGAAUCUUGCUUUUACCAUGAUAUUUCAUACAAAGAAAUACGAACCAACUAUGACCAUGAUGUUGAGAAAAAUAUCACUCUAUGAUCAUCAGUCUGUUGUUAUGGUAGAGGCGUUGAGGAUAUAUUCCACGAGCAUCAUUAGCUAUUCAUUCGUUAUGCCGUUGAUUACUUAAAAAGUAAAGCAAACUUUUAACAGCUUUUCCUAAUAGAAAAAUGCAAAGUGAAACGACAAUCGAAUAACUAUAUAUAUUAAUCUGGAAAAGAGGAAUUUACGUAUAUCAAUUUUAAUUCUCAUUAUUAAAAAUUAUGAGCAACUUAAGAAAAAAAAGUUAAGAAUAACAUAACAGAGCACAUUAACAAUACAAAAUAUGCAAGAAAAAAGAAGAAGUUCAGAUUAACAUAACAGAGCACAUAAACAACAAAUGGAUUACAAGCCAAAACAUAAAUCAACAACAAGAACACAAAAACAACUUUCACCAUAAACCCUACGAUAAUUUAGACCCGUUUAUUCGAUUUUCAAAAGCUUCCCAGUUGGAAUCUUGGUUCAAGAGCCAAGUCCAUUAUCAACCAUUGAUCUCUGUCUUCUUGUUUGGCUCGAACACAAACUUGACAAGAGCUUCCUUUAUAGACAACAUCUCCGGAAACUCCGUUUUCAACUUAGUGGCAUCAAGCUCAUUGUUACUCCUCGGAGCUACAAUCACUUUCGCCUGUUCUUCCAACGUGAAGUUCUUCCAAGUGAAACUCGGAUCAACAAACUCUCUGUACAUCUCUAGUAUCUCAUUGUGGCUCACCACCCCCGGAUUAGUGAAGUUCCAUAUCCCUGUCAGGUUCCUCUUCGCCAUCUCGAGAGAGAUAGGAAGGAGCUCAUCGAGAAUCGUCAUCGAGUUUGGGAUGUCCACAACUUUCUCAUACCGAGUUAUCUUGGUGAUGAAGUUUCUCGGGUUUGAGAGAUCAGAUGAGAUGGGCAUCCUUACACGGAGUGUGCAUACGUUCUCAUAGUUCUUGAGCAGUUCCUCUACCUAUUACAUAAAUAAACCAUGAUUAGGUUUAAUCCGGUUUAGAUUAAUUGUGAUUCGGUAUGAUUUUAUCAAUAUCAUUUAAAUUAAACCGGUGUAAAGUGAAAGAACUUUCAGACCAUAGCCUUUGUCUUGGAGUAGAACGAACCGGUGAAGUUAGGUGUGUCCUCUUCCUUAAACCCGAGACCCGACCCGAGAGGAUGACCCGAGUCGUACUCGAAUAUACAACCCGUGGCGUAGUUGAUCAGCACGAGGCCUCUCUCCCUGCAAACGUCGGCUAGAGUCAGAGUUCCGACGACGUUCGUACGGAUGGUCUCCACCUUGUGGGACUCGCACCAGUCUACGUUCGGUCGUCCGGUGACUCCCGCGGCGUUGAACACGUGGCUCGGCUUGACGGAAUCAAGAUCGGCGACGAGCGAGCGGCGAUCCUCGAGCCGGCCUGAGCCGUAAGUGUAAGAGAUCCCCUGAGCUUCGCAGAGCUUGCCGAGAAUACCGCCGAUCCAGCCUGUCCGGCCGUAGAUUAAGAAGUUGAGAGAUGACGAUGCGCCGUUUGCUUCUGCACCCAUUCUCUCCGUCGUGAUCGUAGAUUUCACCGGCGAAUAAUAAGAAGAGACUGUGGGAUCUCUCAUUUCUUUGAGUCGUUAUUUAUCCUGUUUUUUUAAGGACAAAACUUCAGUUUUGCCACCCCCAUAUUAUUUAUUUUACAAAUUAGCCCAUAACUUUACUUGUUAUACAAUAUAAUAUAUGUAUAUGUAUCCUAAUUGAACGAUUAUGUACUAUUUUAACCCAAUAAAAGACAACUAACUAACUAGCGGUAUUAUAUAUUCUAUAGAAUUACUCAUGAUUUGGGUGGGGGGAUGUAGUUUAGGUAAAACAUUCCAUGGAUUUUGUGUGUUUCUAUUAUUUGAUGAAACUACGUGACUAUAAUGGCAAAGUUUUGAAGUUGAGAUAGAGGAUUGGAAUUAAAUUUAAAUUAAUAUUUCAGUCAGACAAAGGAUCUGUCAAGGUAGUGGCGUGCGGAAUUAAUUAUAAUUAACACGAGUUGGUGAUUGGGAGUACGAAAAAUAAUUACGAAUAUUUUACUUUUGUUGAAAUCAACAACGUUUUUCAUGUGUUGUAAAAAUUUUAAAACACUGAAACCCCAUUGGUCUUCAUUUGGAACCUCACCAGUCACCAUCAUGGCCCUCACCACGACAAAUUAAACUAGUAGAAAACAAUUUCAUGUUCAAUCAUGUAUCCAAGUCAUAAUUUUACCUUGACUAACCGAUUAAUCUACGAAUAAAUGAAAUUAAUUCUAUUUUAUGAUAAUUCACCUCCUUCAUGACUCCUGUUCGUAUUAAUUUCACCCAACACAAAACAAUUUUUUUCUUAUAACAAGAUAUUUUAUGAUACACGAGAGAAGUGACCAAAAAAGAAAGUCAAAUGAACAAUAUAAACAUCGUUAAGGCUAGGACACACAUAAGACACACCAACACCAGUGUUACUGAGUCUAAUAACUAUUAAUAAAAAGUAUGAAAACGUGUUUAAUCUGAGAGGUUAAUGAAGUAAACACACGAGCAUUUGAGCUUGGAUUUGAAGGAGAAGGGGGCUGAGGGAGCGAGAGCUUGUUCCAUUUCAUCUUGGGUUGAUUGAUGAACAAUUGUUGAUUUGCUUAAGUUGAAGUCUUGCCUCAUUCACCGAUAUAUUCCGCUUUGUCAGGCGUUUUGUAAUUUACAUUCUUAGAACUCUUUUAUUUUUUAAAUUCUUAAUUUACGGAACGGGGAUGAGCAUUCAUGUCUCAGUACAUAUACUGCAGCUAGAUGAUUCAGCGAUCAAUGCGCUCUUUAGCUAGGUACGUAAAUUAGAAAAUCAUUGUGGCAAAUUAGUGUAACCAUUACAAAAAUUCAAUGCUCUAAUUUUUGUAAAAUUUCUACAUGCCAACUGUUAAAUGAUAUUAUUUUUAUGGGACUUUAUUUACACACUAAACUUUUUUAAAAAUCUAUGAAGUCCUGGCAAAAAUGUAAAAAAAAAACUAAAAAGGGAAAAAUGCGAUGAUUUAUCGGUAGACAUUUCUUUCUUCACACGCACAAACAAAAACAAAACAAAAUUACACAUCUGAUAACGAAAUGAAAGUCUCUUGAUCAAGUAGGGUUGACUUCAUCAUCAUGACUUUGAUUAUGAAGAGUUAUAUCACAAUUACAUACAUACGUUACACGUAUACAUUAGAUGUAGAACAUAAAGAUGGGCCAUCCACAACAAAGGCCAUCAAAGCUUCUUUAAAUCCCAAGAACAAAAAACAAAAGGAGAGGAGAGAACUCAUAAAAGAAAAAAUCCCGUUUAGGUUUUCAGCGGAAAUUGGUGUAACUCUUGUAAGUCAUACCGGCGUUCCAGUUAGACGGAGCAACGUUCCAUGCAUAGACGGUUUCACCGGUGGUGUAAGAAGUGAUCCGGAAAGAGAGAGACUGGCCGUAGAGAGAAGAAAAAGCUUGGUAAGAGGCCCCCCAGUUGUGGCUCAUGCUUAUCCAAUUCGUCCUGCUACCUUUCACGGCCAUGCUUUUGAUGUCUCCGGCGCCGCCGACAUUCAUGACAAAGAUGAGAAGCCAAUACGCAUUUCCUUGGAAUUGAAACCUCAUACCGCCACUCCUUUUGCAUGGGACUCUACAGACAUCAAAUAAGUCGCAUAAAAUAAAUAUUAGCUACACAAUUUUUGGAGUACUUAUAUCAAGUGUCGUCACUCGUCAUAUAUAGUAAGAUAUUGUAUAAGAAAGUAGGUCAAAACUGAAAUAUAAAUUUUCGAAAAUGAGAUAUACCUGCGGUAUGAAACAGGGAUGAUGCCAGCCUUCCAGUUAGCGAGUUUCAUGAAAGCCGGUUUAGCCAUAUCGAAAUGGGUUCUAGGAGGAUUGCACCAACCACCAUUGUUGGUGUCUUGGUACCAAUUGGGAGGGCAGAGGUUGGUGGCUGUGACCACCGUCGAUGGGUUUCCAUAGUAACAAUGUUUUGACUGCACACACAUUAUCUGGAAACACUGGCCGCAUGCAUAACCGUCUUUGAACAACGUCGUGCUUAGUGCCGCCGUGUUCAGGCCGUAACCGCUGUUAAACAGGUUUCCGUAUCCACAUGCACCACCUGCAUAUAAACGUAUUAUGUCAUUGACUAUAUGUAUGAAUUGUUGUUAUUAUCUUGGUAAUCAAGGAUUUAUACGAGGAAUAAAUUUUGAAAACAAAAAUUCUUUUGAGAAAACUUGUACAUAAGAAAAAUAAAAUAAAGAAAUUUAUGAAUAUCAAAACAUAUUUUGAUCUUGGUGAUUAUAUUGAAUAUACAUGUACAUGAUAGUGAAAUGUUUAUUUUACGUACCCAUGGUUUCACUACCGGUCUCGUCGCCAUAGAAAGUGGCAUGAGCGUAUCUCCACGGGCUCGGCCUGUAAUAUCCGGCGACAAACUCACCGGAGAUGGCGAAAACGACAAAGACUAUUGCCAAGAACUUUUUGAAGCUCCAAGAACUUGAGAUCGGACCCAUCUCUAGUUUCGUUUUCUUAGGGUUUGUUUGUUGACGAAGUAAUCGAAUUAGAGACAACCUUAUAUAGACUCUUUUUUAACAAUAGUGGUGGUGGCUACGUGAGGGUCAUGAUCCCUUUUCCGGUUUUUUUAUUGGAGACUUUUGUCAGUACUGAUUGCGAUUUGUUUCAUUUCACUGAAUGUUUGCAAUGUAUAUAUUAAACAAAAAUUAGAGAAAGCAAGUAAAAAUUCUUGUUUAAAUGAAGUUUUAGAAUAUAGUACAAGUUAACGUGCGAGCAGGUUCUUUCAGCGGUUCUUGUACCGACUUUAUCUAAUCUCGUCUAUCUAUAUACUAAUAGUGUAUACUAUAUUUAUUUAUUAUUAAAUAGUUAACUUUCUUUUAAAGAUUAGUUUUUCUUUUGUCAAUGUUGAUAUAACCGCAUACAUUAUAUAUUAUCGUUCCAAUGUUGCCAAAUAUAUAAAUACGUUAAUGAUAAGUUUAUUGUAAUGUCCUGAUUAAUGCUUAUACGAAUCGUCGACUAAAAUUUUCAUAUAUCCAUCGUGGGAGAGUUAUAUUUAAUGGUGUGGUAGGUGCUUAAUAUUUCUACGGGAUAGUGAAUUUGUAUAAGUAGCUAUAAUAUACAAAUAAGUUAGUCGAUUAAUAGCAUAUUGAUAGAGCUAAUGGAUGUAUAUUUUUCAAGCUAUAAAACGGUAACAUGUAAAUCCAUUGGUAUUGUAUCACAAUUGCCCAAGUUUUCUUCAUAAUCUUCAACAAAGCAAUACAUUUUAGAAAGUUAAUAAGAAUACUAUAGUCGGGGGUGAAAGGUCAAGUAACCCCUUAUGCCGUCCGUACGGUUAUCUCUAUGAAACUAAAAAUUUCACAUGUUGACCUUUAAUUUUUUUAAGGUCAAAUAAACUUAGUAUAUUCUUCUCAAAUUUCCUUUUAUACACCUAGAGAGGCAUUAAUAUUGGAAGAGAGAACAUGAAUUAAAAAUCCUUUUUUUUUUUUUGGUAGAUGGCAGGAGACGAUAGUCUCCUACUUUUUAUUCAAAAUCAAACUUGCGUUACAAGAAAAUCUGUCUAGCUCUAGCAAACCCAUGAAUAUCAUCUGACAAGAUAGAAGCAACAUGCUCCGGAGCAAACUCAAAGUAAUGUAAACCGUACGAUAAAGAAAAAGCAUAGUUAGCUAAUCCAUCUGCUAGACAAUUAGCCUCCCUAUACACGUGCGAAAUCUUGACUAACCAGUCUCUUGAUAUGAAGCCAUAGCACAAACGUACUAGGAAUGACAGAGGAUGAGAAUCCUGGAUACCUGUCGUAAGAAAACCCACCACACUCUCGGAAUCAACCUCCACCUCUAGUCGUCGGAUCCCCUUAUCCCAUGCUAUACAUAAGCCGUAAUAAACACCCCAUAACUCCGCCAAUGGGGCUGAGCAAAUACCAAUAUUGAUCGCAAAGCCUCCUCUCCACUCUCCAUAUUCAUCCCGCAUGGCCCCACCUGCUGUAGCCAGUCCCGGAUUCCCUUUAGAGGACCCGUCAGUAUUCAAUUUACACCAGCCAUUACCCGGUUUGCACCAUGCGAUCUGUCUCUCCACACGCGUACUAAUGGUCGAGCAGGGUCGCAUUUUCUUAUUUGCUAGUACCACCUCCUGAGUCUUAUCUUUAACAAACUGCACCCUAUCUCGACACUUUCCAGUUUCACCAAAGACAUACCCACACCUCCAUUUCCAACACCACCACACAGUCAACGCAAACAUUAUGGGCCAUUGAUCUCCAUUAGCCGACGUAUCGUUUGUGAGAUUCUCAUACAGCCAUUCUAAAAGUGGUUGAUUGAAGAACCGCUGUUGUUUUCUUAGGAUCACAAUUUUUCUCCAUAGUCCCAUUGCAGCAGGGCAAUCUCGAAGGACAUGAAUGAUUGUCUCAUCUCCAUUCUUGCACAGUUGGCACAUUCCAUUAUCACUUAAGUGUCUCCGCUUCCUCUCCAUGUUCGUCAUGAUAACUUGGUGCGCAACCAACCAUAAAAAAACUCUAACUCUUUCUGGUACCAUAACCCGCCAAACCCGACUGUAGAAAGCCUCCAUAUUUGGUCUCGGUGACUCGUCUAUUGUCAAGAGUGCAUACGCUGAUUUCACAGAGAAGAGACCAUUCUUACUUCCUCCCCAAGACAUCCUAUCCUUAGCCCCUGUGACAUCAUCGAUCACCACCGAAGCUAAACGUAAUCGGUUCUCCAUUGAUAUGUACGGUUCAAUUUGUUGUGCUAACCAACCUAUCCCAGUCUGCCAUAGGUCACAAGCUUUUGCUUCCAACAGUGCUUCCGGAAUCUCCACCAAACUCAAGCCAUGUAAGGGUUCAUGCAACAACCAAUUAUCCUUCCAAAACCGUACUCGGUGACCAUCUCCUAAUAUCCAGGAAGCUCCUGGAAUCACAACUGCUCGAAUUCCCAACACCAAGCUCCUCCACGUCGCCGACCAGCUCCCCUGAGGCACCAACCAUGCUGAUUCAUGUAUCUCACCUACACGAAACUUCUUACGUAAGAUUUGCACCCAUAGUCCAUCUUGUGUGUUCAACAGUCUCCAGCCGAGUUUAGCUAAGAGAGAAAUGUUCAUUUCUUUCGCUGAUCUUAUGCCAAGUCCCCCCUCUCUCUUUGGUUUACAGAUUCUCUCCCAAGACACCAAGUGUUGUUUUCUGAUCCCUUCACCACUCCCCCAGAUAAAAGACCGAGCAAUUUUAUCCAGUUGGAUCAAAGUCGACACCGGCAAUGCUAUCGAGCUCAUCGUGUGGACGGGAAUUGAUGAGAGAACAGAUUUAGUGAGAGUUAUCCUUCCAGCUAAGCUCAAAAAUCUCCUCUUCCAACCAGCCAAUUUAGAUGAAACCCUCUCAAUGACUGUCCCAAAAGUCUCUUUAUUAAUUCUCUUCUGCAAGACCGGCAUGCCCAAAUACUUUCCCAACUCCUUCGUGCCUUUGAUUCCGCUUUCAUCACUGAUCAAAUUAGCUAAAUCUCGAUGAACAUUCUCAGAAAAGAAAAUUAGAGAUUUCUCCAAGCUAACUUUCUGUCCUGAUGCUCCACAAAACCUCUCCAGCACCUUUCGUAUAACUCGGAUCUGUGAUACUGAAGCUUCUGCAAACAAGAUCAGAUCGUCCGCAAAGCAAAUAUGUGAUAAGGCUGGGCCACCUCUAGAUAACUUGAUUGGUUUCCACUCCUUAUUUGCGACAGAGAAUUCAAUUUGGUGGCAUAGUCUCUCCAUACAUAACACAAAGAGAUAUGGAGACAAGGGAUCUCCCUGUCUAAGGCCACGUUGAGGUGUAAACGCUUCUGUUCUCUCCCCAUUCCACAGUAGACUCAUACCUGGAUUCAUAACACACUCCAAUAUCCAUUUGAUCCAUAUAUGUGGUAACUUCGCUGCAUUCAGAGUAUCCUCUAAAAAGUCCCAUCUGAUACGAUCAUAAGCUUUUUCAAGAUCCAGCUUAAGUAACAUCCAGCCUUUUUUCCCUUUUUUCCUUCUCAUUGAGUGAACCGCUUCCUGUACUACCACAAUGUUAUCUGUGCUGAGUCUUCCCGGAAUAAAACUAGCUUGUGCUGGACCUAUUAGUUUUGGCAUUAGUGUCUUCAGUCGCAUCACCAUUGCCUUUGUUAUCGUCUUGAACAAGACAUUACAUAAACUAAUAGGCCGAAACUGCAUAAUUCUUUCUGGUUUGAGAACCUUUGGUAUGAGAACCACCAUUGCAUCAUUCAUGCCCUCCUGAAGGACACCGGAUUCAAAGAAACCUAGCCCACAUCGAGUUACUGAUUCUCCCACCACAUCCCAUGAUUCUUGGUAGAAGACAGGUUGAAAUCCAUCUGGCCCUGGUGCCUUAUAUUUACCCAUCGAUCUCACCGAAGCCUCCAUAUCCACUGCCGAGAAAGGCUUGUUUAAGCUCUCCAGUUCAUCACGCGUAAAGUCAGUAAAGCCAACCUGGGAUAGCUUCUCUGUAUCGAGAGAUAUAUCUUCAGUUGAAUACAGUCUCUUAUAGUAGUUCAUUGCUAGUUGCUCCAACUGUUCUGACUGGUCAAUCCAGUGGCCAUCAUCACCCUUCAGCAUCUCUAUUCUAUUCCUCUUUCUCCUCACAAUGGUACUCGUGUGAUAGUACGUUGUGUUUCUAUCACCAAGAACUAUCCAUUUCUCUCGUGAUUUUUGGUACCAGAGCACCUCCUCCUGUUCAAGGACAACAUCAAACUCUUUUUGUAAUGUCUCCUCCCUUGCCAGCAGACGAUCUGAUGGGUUUCUCUCCAAUUCCUCCUGAACUUCUUUUAUAUCCCCGAGCAGUUUCUCUUUUCGUUUGAUCACGUCUCCAAAUAUCUCUUUGUUCCAUUUCUUGAGUUUCUCCUUCAAAGACACCAGUGCUUCUGGAGUACUCAUCUCACUAUUCCAAGAUGUUGAUAGGAGCUCCUUAAAACCAUCAUGCUUAAGCCACGCAGCUUCGAAUCUAAACGGUCUCCUUUUCGGAUCUCCUUUCCGCUCUGGCUCCAUUUGUACAUACAUUGGUGCAUGGUCUGAAGCUAAAAAAGGAAGAUGCGUGACCACUGCCUCCUGCCAUCUCACGCGAGUCUGCGCACUACACAAAACUCUAUCAAGUCGCUUCGCCACAAAGUGCUGCGUAUCUUUACCUCUCCUCCAAGUAAAAGUAUUUCCUCUGAAUCCCAUAUCCACCAGAGCUAAAUCAUUAAUCCAAUCCCCAAACGCCAGAGAGUCUGGUGAAAGUCUACCAUUUCCUCCAGAUCGCUCAUCCAAUCUUAAAAUGGUGUAAAAAUCACCACCCACCAUAACCGGUUCAUCAAUACUCUCUAACACCCGCUUCAACUGACCCCACAGACCACUCCUUCGACUAACCGUAGGAGCCGCAUAGACAGCAAUAAUAUGUAUAGUCUCAGUCCCCAUUGUCACCCUCGCAUGAACAAACUGAUCCGAUGAUUCCAGCACCGUAAUCAUUCCUACUUGAUCUCUCCAUAAAAUCCAAAUGCCACCACUUUGACCAACGGCAUCUACACGAAAAGAGUUGUCAAACCCCAGGUUCUGGCAAAUCUUCAUCGCUUUGUCUCCACUCGCAUGAGUUUCGAACAAUGCCAGAAAAUCAGUUUGAUGCUUCUUCAGAAUAUACCUAAUAGACCGUCUGAAAUUAGGUUUAUUUGCCCCCCGGCAAUUCCAGAAUAAACAAUUCAUCAUCAUAAUUAUAAAAAUCUCCGAUAGAAUUCCCGGGGCACCCUGUUAUGCUAGGGAUCCCACUACCUCCUCCACCUGCACCGUCGUCAGUUCUUCCACCAUUUGCUUCUCUGUCUCACUUCUAAUAAUCUCCAUCGGAUUCUCUAACCCCUCAUCUCGCAGCUGAAGAAGUUUAGGCAUAACCCUGACCUCCACACUAUCUCUGAAAACGCCACCAGGUCUCCCUGCAUCGCUAUUCUCCACUCUCAGUCGUUUUCCUGAUGUCGACAGGUUAGUCUCUCCCUUGGUCGGCCCAAAAACCAAUCCUCGAACCGGCCUGUUAGUCGAUUUUUUGGGCCUUCCUUUUACUCCCUCCAUUAUUUUUUUAUUCCCAUUCCCUCCCUCUUUGUUUCCUCCAUUCAAAUUAAUACCUCCAUUACUACCGAAAACUAAGGAUUUCUUCUCUUGUAAGGUUCCCUUACCCUUAGCGUUCUGAAUGUUGACCUCCUGAUUCUCCUUAUCUCCCUCACCAGCGAUCAAUUCCUCACUCGGUUCCCCCGUAUUCGUAUCCGUACCAAGACUUCCGUACUUGUUUGAUAACACAAGAUGCUCCGGUUCCUUAAUCUGUUCUGUUCCUCGGCCAUUUCUAUCAACCUCCUCAUGUAGUUCCCUUGUCCUGGCAGUCGCCGGCCGAGGUAACGGAGGAGCUACUCUUCUCGAUCCCCUUGCCUUAAUGAAACCCUCCUCCUGCUCUGGUAGUCCUUGUUUGGACGCGACCUCAACAGGUACUGACCUCUCCUUCUGUAUUAGUAGAGCUGCCGCUCGCUCCGCAAUCGUUUUUGGGCAGCUAUGUACCAAGUGUCCAUAGAUACCACACUUUGAACAGAUCUCCGAUAGUCCCUCAUACGCUACAAAGUAUCUCUCACCAUUAAUCAACACUGUUCCUUUCAAAGGUUUUGCUAGAUUAACCUCCACACAAAUUCUCGCAAAACGAGCCCUUUCGAAGUUCAAUGUAGUUUGAUCCACACGAAUCGGCUUGCCCAACCCCUUAGCAAUUCCCAUAAGGAUCGAUCGGUGGUAAAAAUUCACUGGAAUAUUUGUUAAUCUGAUCCAGACUGGUGUUGUAACGAUAUCGUCUCUUAACGGAUCAAACUCCGGUGACCAGGCUCUCACCAUGAGAUAACUUCCGAAAGCCCUCCAUGGUCCUCCUGUUAACGCCUCCAGAUAUUCAUCCUCCUUUUCAAACCGGACCAUGAAGAACUGUCGAGGUAGGUCCAUCACAUACAUCGAUCCCUUCGGACUCCAUAAUUCCCUUAGCUUCCUACUCAAGGCAGAGAUCGGAACAUUCCUUCCCAAAACCCUAACAAUCAUACACUGCUUCCACAUCCCGUUCAUUGCUUCAAGUACCUCGUUCUCAAUCGUGAUCGAUGGUUCUCCAUCUUCUCCAUUCGGAAAAUCUACUCUGAGCCUUCUCGACACAAACACAUCAUCAAUCAAAGCCUCUGGAACCGGCAUACCUCCUGCCGUCGUACCCGCCGCCUUCGCUGCCCAUGUGGUCACCCUAUCAGGCGGGUCUCCUGGCGGUCUCGAUCUCUCCCCCACAUCCAUCAUGGUUGCAUCCUGAUCCUCCGAAGUCAAAGCCCUAGUGUCGUUUCUCGCCAAAACCCUAGUCUCGCCGCUCAUCGUUUUUUUUAUUUUCCUUCUAGUUGUCCCCAGAUCAAUAUGAAUUAAAAAUCCUAGUGCAGUCAAAAGCCCUCUCGAAUAUUAUUGACAUAUUCAGUUUAACUUGUAUCUAUUUUAAAUUCGUAAACUGUUAUUCGUUGUAAUGAUUUUUGCCAAUUCAACGGUAACCAUGUUAGUAAUUUAAAACAAAACUGGAAUUGCAAUUUCUGACAAGUUUUUUUACAUAUCAAGUUUACGUCAUAAUAGCAACUCAAAUUUCGAGGCCGUGGAAUGGGGAUGGAUAUAAUACGCAACAGAGGCGGGACAUUACAAGAAUGUGGGAUGGACGAACUCCAAAUCUGUUGGAAUGUCGAGAAGUUGGAUCCUCCGCAUUCAUAUGGACCUUAUAAUCAUGUUGGUCUCUAGGAUACUCUCAAGUGGAGUUUGAUCGAUGACAAUCAAAUCAUUAAUUGGGUUCUCAAUGAUCAACUUGAGGCAACAUCCCUACAUAUAUGUCCGAUUGAGAACUGGUCACGGAUGUUUACGUCUAUUAUAAUUAGAUUUCUUACAUCACACAACCAAUGUCCCGAUACUUUAGCUAGGAAUUCUCUACAAACACCAGUACUGUGUGGUUCUUAUUUCACUGUUGUCUUAGUAUUCUUAAGGAGCCUGUAAUUAUCGAAAACUAAUCCUUAAUGAAAUCAAAGUUUAGUUGGCAGCAUACAAUAUAGAAACUCAAAACGUAUAUUAGGAAUAAGUAUUGUGGAAAAUCACUAGUUAGUAACCAUGUUGUGAUAACAAGUAGUACCAAUACUACCGCCAUGUAAGAGAGGGGGUUUCACAGGACGGACAUUGGUCUGAAAUUUGUUUGUAUAAAUAAUCAUUAGAAUAACUUGAGAAGAAGUUUAGUUUAAAAAAAAAAAAAAAAAAAAAAAAAAAAAAAACUUGAGAAGAAGUUUAAUUUCUUGACAGAUCACUCCCAUAAUUACACAUUAGCAUCUUAGUUUUAAUUUUCUUUCUUGACUAUUCCCAUAAUAUAUAUAGGGGAUUCACUGAUUAAUAUUAUAUAAAUACACUUUCGUUUUCUUAAUCAUAUCGUUCAACAACUAAUGAUAGAUUGAUCAUUAGCCUUCUUUGAUCAAACCGGACGAUCUCUCAACCCAAUCGAACCGGGGAAACCAAAGGCUGGUUCGAGAAAAACGCCUUCAAGUUAGCUAUCGCAACCUCGGCAACACUUUCCAAAGCCCCAGGCGUGGCCACAGCAGCAUGCGGAGACAAUACAACAUUGUCCAUACCAAACAACUCCUCAGGAACUUGCGGUUCUUUCUCAAACACAUCUAAACCGGCACCACCAAUCACACCUUCCACCAGACACUUCACCAUCUCCUCCUCAUCAAUCAGCCCUCCCCUUCCCACAUUAAUGAUAACCCCUUCCUUCCCAAGCGACUCCAUCACUUCUCUGUUCACAACGUGCCUCGUUUGAUCCGUCAGAGAGCAGCAGAGCACGAGGACAUCGUUGUCUGCUGCCAAGGAGAGAACGUCGGAGUAGUAACGGUAAGGGAUGCUCUGUUUCUGAGUUCUCGAGUUGUAAGAGAUGAUGCAUCCAAAGGGUUCGAGUCUUUUGGCGAUACGGGACCCGAUGCUCCCUAAUCCAAUUAUCCCAACUCGCUUUCCACUUACCUGCAACAACAACACAGAUUCAUUAAAAUAAAAUAAAUAAUAUAUAAAAAACACACACACAGAUUCAUAAAACAGAACCAGAUUCAUAAGAUAGUUCUCGUCUUUAUCUACAGAUUCUCUGUACCCCACAACAAUGUAACGCUUUGUCUGCAGAAUCACGAGCCCCACCGUCUAUAAUUCACUUUAAAGUUCUCCAAAAAAAAUUCAAGAAUUCUUUUUUUUUUUGUUCAUUAAAAAAAAAAAAAUCAAGAAAAGUCAAUUCACUUUCAAGAAACAGAGAGAUAGUUAUGUUUUUGAGAAUAAACCUUGAUGCCUAGCUGGAACUGCCCCGGUUUCGACCAGUUACCAGACCGGACGUAACGGUCUCCGGCCGGAAUACGACGGAGGACGCUCAACAGCAAUCCGACGGCACAAUCCGCCACGUCAUCGGAGAAGGCGUCGCCAGCGUUGGUGACGGCGAUGCCGCGGCGCUUGCAUUCGGCGAGGUCGACGUGAUCGGUGCCGACGCUGGUGCAGACGAGAAGCUGGAGGGAAGGGAGGUGGGAGAGGAGCUCGGCGUCUAUCUUGAGCCUGCCGAUGUUGACGAAGGCUGUGACGGAGGCGGCGUGGCGGGAGAGGAAGACGGGUAGUGGAUCCGGUGAAAGGUGAGCGUUGAGAAGACGGAAGUUGCGGCUGAGGUGGUCGUCCAUGUAAGCUAGAGUAGGUGGGCGGUGAACGAGGACGAGCGGAGAUUCUGAAGAUUCCUC